This 468-nucleotide ribosomal RNA is filed under the name uncultured bacterium. RNAcentral's name for it is "partial 16S ribosomal RNA". It matches the Rfam family "Bacterial small subunit ribosomal RNA", at positions 28 to 507 of the family's 1533-position model. The record is from RNAcentral.
GACGAACGCUGGCGGCGUGCUUAACACAUGCAAGUCGAACGGAAAGGCCCUGCUUUUGUGGGGUGCUCGAGUGGCGAACGGGUGAGUAACACGUGAGUAACCUGCCCUUGACUUUGGGAUAACUUCAGGAAACUGGGGCUAAUACCGGAUAGGAGCUCCUGCUGCAUGGUGGGGGUUGGAAAGUUUCGGCGGUUGGGGAUGGACUCGCGGCUUAUCAGCUUGUUGGUGGGGUAGUGGCUUACCAAGGCUUUGACGGGUAGCCGGCCUGAGAGGGUGACCGGCCACAGUGGGACUGAGAUACGGCCCAGACUGCUACGGGAGGCAGCAGUGGGGAAUAGUGCACAAUGGGCGGAAGCCUGAUGCAGCAACGCCGCGUGCGGGAUGACGGCCGUCGGGUUGUAAACCGCUUUCGCCUGGGACGAAGCGUGAGUGACGGUAAUGGGUAAAGAAGCACCGGCUAACUACGUG